UCGUUCUCUCGUCCUCCCACACCGCCGCCACCACACAACGCACACACAGGGGAGAGGAGCUUCUCGCCCUGAUCCCCAUGGCCGCCAGCGACCGCCUCGAGCCUCCUCGCGCGCGCCCCUUCCACCGCCGACGGGCCAAGCUGACCCAACAGCUCCCGGCGCCCUGUUUCUCCGUGCCGCGCCCGAUGCCCCGCCGGCAACCUUGACCUCCAGCCAUGGCGCUCGCGCCUCCUCUUGCCGGCCUACUUCGCGCCGUCGUCUCCCUCCGGCUGCCCCGAGCUGUUCCUCAUCAUCGAUAUGUUGGAGCCUAGGAGCCAGAUGCCGCCUUCAACGACUUCUACUACAUUGAAGGUGCCUACUACUACGUGCAGGCCGCCGACGAUGACCAGGGGUAGUUUAGGAGGAUCCCGGACAGGAAGCAUGUGCCUCCUUCGAUCUAUAUCCCAGUUUGUGCUAGCCAUCUUAUGGCAACUUGUUUAACUUAUGUCCGUACUCAGAUACUGUUGUUUC
Long non-coding RNA from Triticum dicoccoides, 510 nucleotides. RefSeq lists it as uncharacterized. Lineage: Eukaryota; Viridiplantae; Streptophyta; Magnoliopsida; Poales; Poaceae. The record is from RefSeq and is a predicted model, not a curated record. The transcript is spliced from 2 exons.